Long non-coding RNA from Sitodiplosis mosellana (orange wheat blossom midge), 1286 nucleotides. RefSeq lists it as uncharacterized. Lineage: Eukaryota; Metazoa; Arthropoda; Insecta; Diptera; Cecidomyiidae. The record is from RefSeq and is a predicted model, not a curated record. The transcript has 4 exons.
GUUAAAUGAUACAAAUAACUGCCAGUGGAAUACUCAAAACGAAUAUUGUUCACGUGUUCACAAGAUUUUCCCCAAUUUAUAAAUAGUUUAGUGAAAAAAAGUAAUAAGAUCAGAAAAGUCAAAUCAAAUUUCGUUGUUUCUUGAUUAUUUUGAUGAUUUUUUCAGCUGCAAAUAGUUCAAAUAGUUACAAGUGAUAAUAAUUGUAUGCGUAUUCGUAUGGAGCUGUGUGGGAAUAAACGAGAACUGGUUUGAUGAACAUGAGAACGCAUAGUAAUUAUUGCGAACACAUAUUCUAUAUAUUCAUACAACUCCGUACAUUUUUACGCCGUUAGCUUUCAUCUACUUUGUGUUCGAAUGUAAUUUUGGAGCAUUUUUCGAACUAAACAAUAUUAUGAAUAGGCAUUCUUUGAAGCAUAUAUAAGAACUCCUCAUUAUGCAAAUAUGUGUUACAAUAUAUGUUCAGUGAAGCGUUCAAACAGUGAUGAAUGAUAGAUCAAUAUUGUUCCAUUCAGUGCCCUAUUGUCGUACGAAAGUAUUCGGAUAAUAUGUUCGCAUCAAUUAAAUGCUUGACUCAAUGAUAAAUAGAAUAAAAAAUAAAAAUAAAAAUGGGCUGGAUGCCCAAGCAUAUGAAUAAUUCAAACAAAUUCCAAGCUGAUGCCGCUUUGUUUAUAUACAACACAUGUUAUAGAUAUGAAUACUACAGCGACUACUGAAUACUAUGUAUACGCUAAUGUGUUUAUGAGUGUAUAAAAUAGCUCCAGUUGCCGUAUGUUUGAAAAAGCAAAUAGACGCAUAUAUACGUGUGACUCAUCGCAAUAAUAAACAACAGAAUAUAAUGGAAGAAAAUCAAAUUACACAAAUACACCACAAACUUUCAAGAAUGCUGAAGAGCCUCCAACACCUCCACCUUCAUAUAAAAUUUCAAAUUUAACUAGAAUAUGUGCAAACAGUCUGACGUUAUCCAAAACUCAAAAUUAGCUGUCACGUUAUUAUCAUCAAUUGGCUAUAUUUUGUAGAACGUUGCAUUGGGUGCUCAGUCAAGUGAACAGCAUUCACCAAGUGCUAUCAAUACUCAGCCGCAUUUUGGGAACUCCAAUGAUGCCUUGAAUGUACCACAUCAAAUGACAAACUUUUCACCCGGCUUGGAGUACUUAACCACAGUUGAUCAACUAUUGAUAAAACAAAUACAGGCCUGCCACAGGUCAGCUUUUGAGCUGAUUAUCAGCUUUUUGAAAAUCUUCAGCUAUUAUUAGCUAUUUCGGUCACAGUUCAGCUUUUUCAGCUUU